GGGGGAGGAGAGCCAGGGUGGAAGGGAGAGAGGGGAAGAAAGAGAGGGAGAGUUCAAGGGUGGGAGAAAGAGAGGAAGAGAAUGAUUUAGUGGCCUGGUGUGAUCCAUCACAGGGUGAAGUGCCACAGCGUUGCCCAACCACUCUUCACCUCAUACUUAACCAUCCCUCUCACAUCAUGUCCUACAGCAAGAAGAAAUGAAGGACACAGUGCAUUCUGGGACGGAAAUGUCAUAGAGAGAGAGAGAGAGGAAGCCAGAGACGCACAGAAAGAGAAGGAGGGAGAGAGCGAACGAGGGGGGAGGCAGAGAGAGAGCGUGCGUGAUGUGCCGGGCCCUUGGUCCCUGAAUCUCCCCUGGUGGUGUGGAGGUCCUGGGGCAGGGUGACUGUCCUCUACCCCCCUGUCCUCCUCUCUCUGCCUGGGACACAGCCUCACAGACCGGGCAAGCUCCAGGCUCUGCUGUGUCACUGUAGGCUGGCCCCCUCUGCUUUCAUCUCUGCCUCCUCUCCUCUGCCGUCCCCCCCAGCGCCAACAUGGCUAAUUAGCCACUCAUCCCUCACUCCCUCCGCCUGGCCUCACCAUUCAUCUUCAUCUCUCCCUCUCUGCCGUCUGCCUCUUAAAUACCACUCCUCCUCCCUCCAUCCCUCGUCUCCAGCCCUUCACUCCCUCACUCCCUCCAUCCCUGUGGGUGGUAACCACUCUGCUCCAGCCCUUCACUCCCUCACUCCCUCCAUCCCUGUGAGUGGUAACCACUCCCCUUCACUCCCUCACUCCCUCCAUCCCUGUGGGUGGUAACCACUCGUCUCCUGCCCUUCACUCCCUCACUCCCUCCAUCCCUGUGGGUGGUAACCACUCGUCUCCUGCCCUUCACUCCCUCACUCCCUCCAUCCCUGUGGGUGGUAACCACUCGUCUCCUGCCCUUCACUCCCUCACUCCCUCCAUCCCUGUGAGUGGUAACCACUCUGCUCCAGCCCUUCACUCCCUUGCCCUCACUCCCUCCAUCCCUGUGGGUGGUAACCACUCGUCUGCUGCCCUUCACUCCCUCACUCCCUCCAUCCCUGUGGGUGGUAACCACUCGUCUGCUGCCCUUCACUCCCUCACUCCCUCCAUCCCUGUGGGUGGUAACCACUCUGCUCCAGCCCUUCACUCCCUCACUCCCUCCAUCCCUGUGGGUGGUAACCACUCGUCUCCUGCCCUCACUCCUCACUCCCUCCAUCCCUGUGGGUGGUAACCACUCGUCUCCAGCCCUUCACUCCCUUGGCCCCUCACUCCUUCCAUCCCUCCUUCCUUCCCUCCCUUCAUUGGGCUCCCGAGUGGCACGGCAGUCUAAGGCACAGGAUCUCAGUGCUAGAGGCGUCACUACGGAAACCCUGGUUCGAAUCCAGGCUGUAUCACAACCGGCCGUGAUUGGGAGUCCCAUAGAGCGGGGCACAAUUGGCCCAGCGUCGUCCGGGUUUGGUCGUCAUUGUAAAUAAGAAUUUAUUCUUAACUGACUUGCCUCGUUAAAUAAAUUCCGGUGCCUGCCUUGCCGACACAAUCACACCCUCGGUCCCUCUUUACCCCGGUCAGUACCAUGACCCAUCCAGAGCUACAGGGUGGAGACAGUCCUUUACCCCAGUCAGUACCAUGACCCAUCCAGAGCUACAGGGUGGAGACAGUCCUUUACCCCAGUCAGUACCAUGACCCAUCCAGAGCUACAGGGUGGAGACAGUCCAUUAAGACAAGGGAACAGUAGUCUUGGUAACAUGUUGAAUUAAGACAAGAGGAACAGUAGUCUUGGUAACAUGUUGAAUUAAG
This 1796-nucleotide long non-coding RNA is filed under the name Salmo salar (Atlantic salmon). Its description in RNAcentral is "lncRNA (ENSSSAG00000082351.1)". The record is from RNAcentral. Lineage: Eukaryota; Metazoa; Chordata; Actinopteri; Salmoniformes; Salmonidae.